UUUAGUCAUAUAAAAAAAGAAGUUGCAUAACAAAUCACAGGCAUGGUGUAAAUUUCAGUCACUAGUUAAGGUAACAAUCAUCAUGCUGCAGCAACAGUUUCAGCGGGCUUUUCUUCCGCGGGCUUUGGUUCGGGGUCAGUUGGUGUUUCUGCAGGCUUUUCUUCUACAGGCUUUGCUUCGGGUUCAGCUGGUGCUGGUGCUGCUUCUUCCCAGAAAGAAGUCUUCUUUCCAGUCUUUGAAACAGUCUGGAAAACAGCUUCGGGUUCCACAUUUCCUUUCACGGUCACUUUUUGCUCCUUUAUAUCGAUAUCAAAUGAU
Molecule: long non-coding RNA, 318 nt
Filed under: Capsicum annuum
Lineage: Eukaryota; Viridiplantae; Streptophyta; Magnoliopsida; Solanales; Solanaceae
Description: long non-coding RNA (CANN_LNC019780)
Source: RNAcentral